Molecule: ribosomal RNA, 392 nt
Filed under: Mammaliicoccus sciuri
Lineage: Bacteria; Bacillati; Bacillota; Bacilli; Caryophanales; Staphylococcaceae
Description: bacterial SSU rRNA
Rfam family: Bacterial small subunit ribosomal RNA
Source: RNAcentral
GCGGCGGACGGGUGAGUACACGUGGGUAACCUACCUAUAAGACUGGGAUAACUCCGGGAAACCGGGGCUAAUACCGGAUAAUAUUUUGAACCGCAUGGUUCGAUAGUGAAAGACGGUUUCGGCUGUCACUUAUAGAUGGACCCGCGCCGUAUUAGCUAGUUGGUAAGGUAACGGCUUACCAAGGCGACGAUACGUAGCCGACCUGAGAGGGUGAUCGGCCACACUGGAACUGAGACACGGUCCAGACUCCUACGGGAGGCAGCAGUAGGGAAUCUUCCGCAAUGGGCGAAAGCCUGACGGAGCAACGCCGCGUGAGUGAUGAAGGUCUUCGGAUCGUAAAACUCUGUUGUUAGGGAAGAACAAAUUUGUUAGUAACUGAACAAGUCUUGACG